RNAcentral lists this long non-coding RNA (6760 nucleotides) under Phaseolus vulgaris (common bean). RNAcentral's name for it is "long non-coding RNA (PVUL_LNC004009)". The record is from RNAcentral. Lineage: Eukaryota; Viridiplantae; Streptophyta; Magnoliopsida; Fabales; Fabaceae.
AAAUUCUUCUCCUUUCAUUACUGUUAAAAACUGAUCUAAAUAGAAGUUGUAUGGACUAAAUUGGCCUUACAUUGUUUCAUAAACUUUCUAAUAACACCUGAUUAAUUACAUAAUGUAAGCCUUCAUUCAUUUGGGCUUAAUAAUAUGACGUUUGGGCCUAUUAUUGUUGGGCCCUGAUAUCUCAAGUUCCUACACUACACCUGCCAGAUUUUAACUUGCCUUUUGUUGUGGAAACAGACGCGUUUGCAGUAGCCGUGGGGGCUGUACUCAGCCAAAAGGGGCACCCGCUAUCCUUCUUCAGCAAGAAAAUGUGUCCAAGGCUCCAAGCUUCAUCUGUGUAUGUCCGAGAUAUGUAUGCAAUCACAGAAGUAGUAAAAAAAAUGGCGUCAGUACUUGUUAGGGCAACAUUUCAAAAUAAUCACAGAUAAAAAAAGUUUGAAUACACUUCAGUCACAAAAAAUACAAACUCCAGAACAACAAAGAUGGACAUCAAAGUUACAGGGAUAUGAUUUCCAAAUUCUAUACCGACCUGGUAAACAAAAUGUGGUUGCAGAUGCUCUCUCACGCCAAGACACAAAUUCGUCUUCAAUGUUGCUUGCACUCUCGUCGCCAAUACCAUUGUUGUUUGAAGAGUUACAACAAUUUUAUUCCACCAUAGAAGGAGCAAAAUUAGUUGACGCUUGCACUAAAGAUACACAAGGACCCAGCCUCUUCUCGGUCCGUCAUGGUCUACUAUUCUUUUGUCACCAAGUGUUUCUUCUAGAUACCAACAAUUUCAGAAACCGCAUCCUCCAAGAACUACAUGAAUCGCCCACAGCGGGUCAUUUCGGCAUUAACCCACCCUUGCUCGCAUUGUUGCUGCCUUCUACUGGCCGAGGUGGACUAGAGAUAUCAAGAACUACAUUCAACAAUGCACAACAUGUCAGCGUAACAAGUAUUUGCAAACAAAGCCCCAUGGAUUACUCACCAAGCGAUUCUCAGUUGAGAUUUGUCGUCUGCAUGGGCUGCCAAAAACCAUUGUCUCAGACCGAGAUCCCCUAUUUGUCAACACUUUUUGGAAACACCUAUUCAAGGCACAACAUUAAAGUUCAGUUCUGCUUACUAUCCGCAAACUGAUGGACAAACAAAAGUUCUUAAUCGAAGUUUGGAAGAUUACUUACGAUGCUUUGCUGGCGAACAUCCUCACACUUGGUUCCAAUAUCUUCAUCUAGCAGAACUUUGGCACAAUACGACUUACCACUAUGCCAUUGGAACCUCACCGUUCCAUGCUCUGUACGGAAGACAACCUCCCACCGCCCUAGAUCUGUUGCACAGUCCACGCUCAGGCACCACUGUUGCUGAUUUAUUGCACCAACACACGCUGGUUCUCCACGCCCUCAAACAAAACCUUCGUCGGGCCCGUCAACGAAUGUGCGACCAGGCCAACCGCCACCGAUCCGAACGCUCUUUUAACCCUGAUGACUGGGUAUGGGUACGUCUUCAACCUCACUGCCAGCAAUCGGUGAAGCGUCGUACAUGUUCGAAGCUCGCCCCUUGUUACUCGGGGCCUUAUCAAGUGCUCCGCCGCAUCGGCGCUAUGGCCUACGAACUCUGUUUACCAACCACCUCGCGAGUACACCCGGUAUUUCAUGUAUCCCUCCUCCAUGCUUUCAAAGGAACCCAUGUAGCCACUGACAUUAAUUCACUCUCUCACGCGGAUAGGGACUCGCCAAACUCUUUGAAUACCCCCACGCCUAACCCUAAAAGCCUUUCAAAUGUCCAACCACUUCACUCACCUAACUUUGAAACCCCUUCAGAAGAGCAAUUAAUGCCCCUAUCUAACUCUGCAUCACGUGACUCAACACUUUCCAACCAGCAUUUAAUAGCCCCACCUAACCCUGCAGAAUUUUUAAACCCGCCAUUAAGUGACUCACCUAACUCCCUGCCCCAACCACCCAUUCCAACCACUCACCAAAAGCCAUGUAAUGACCACACUACAGAUUCCCAAAUCCAAGACUUCACUCCUAACAAUUCUAUAACGUUCCAAAACAAUCCACAAAUAGGCCAGCCAAAUGUUCACCCUUUACACCCAACACAUCCUCAAGCCCAAUCCAAUAAUUACUCUUCAGCCCAAAUCAAUCCAACCACUCAAUUUGAGGACAGAGUGUUGGAACCGGCGGAUGGUACUGAUACAACAGGGCCCAACAAUAAUAGGCCCAAACGUCAGAUUAUUAAGCCCAAAUGGAUGAAGGAUUACUUUAUGUAAUUAAUCAGGUGUUAUUAGAAAGUUUAUGAAACCAUGUAAGGCCAGUUUGGCCCAUACAACUUCUAUUUAGGUCAGUUUUUAACAGUAAUUAAAGAAGAAGAAUUUUGAUGUUACCCUAGUGUUGAAUUAUCUUAGUGUAGUCGUAGAAGAAGCCUAUCAAUUGGUGCUUUCAUUGACCUUCUCAAUGCCUCCUCCUAAACCCCAAACCAAAGACCUAGAAGAAAUUCUACAAUCCAUUCAAGAACAUCUGUCAUGUAUUCAGGUGCAGAUGGAAGAUAAUCACACCUGCCAGGCAGCCAUGGAGACACAUAAUGAUUCUGUUCAAUCCACCCUCACCUUUCUCAUGAAUCAAAUUCCCUCCACACACUGAUGAAAACACAAAUCACCCCCUGGCAACACCCAAUAUAAUAGCAACCCCCUUCCACUAUCCGACCACCCAAACUCCAGUUAGCCUUUUUUGAAGGUCCUGAACCUCUAGAUUGGCUCUUCCAAGCAGAACAGUAUUUUGCGUUUUAUCAUAUUCCACCUGAACAAAGGAUUUCUAUGGUAGCUUUUCACAUGAAGGGAGAGACUCUCAGUUGGUUUAAAUGGUUGCAUCAAAGCAACCUUAUCACAGACUGGCCUUCCUUCACUCGAGCCUUGGAACUACGUUUUGGACUGUCCACCUACACUAACCAUCAAGCAGAAUUAUUCAAACUCCAGCAAACCACCACGGUAACAGAUUAUCAAUCCCGUUUUGAGAAGUUAUGCAACUGCGUAGUUGGACUCAUUUAUGAUAUUAUACUUAAUUGCUUUAUUUCGGGACUCCAACCUGAAAUCCGCAGAGAACUCUCUAUCCUCAACCCAUAUUCUGUUUCCCAAGCCAUUGGUCUAGCCAAACUCAUUGAGGACAAACUUCGUGACUCCAAACCUAGACCCCAACGUUUUCUUACCCCCCAAACAACCCAUCCUUCCCCAUAUUGCCUAACAAGAAAUCCACUAUCAACCAUCAAAUAAAUCAUUCCUUGCCCAUUAAACGCCUCACACCAACCCAGUUGCAAGAACGUCGUGUCCUUGAUUUAUGCUACAACUGUGAUGAGAAAUUUACCCCAGGGCAUAGAUGCACCACUUCUCGUUUCCUUCUUCUCUUGGAUGACUCAGACACCACGUUAGAAACUAUUGAGACUGCACCAACAAACACUGAAUGCCCAAACACCAUCCAUGUUCAUUUAUCACCCCAAGCCCUCACAGGCAACACAUCUCCCAAAACUCUAAAAUUUACCGGCACAAUCCACAACCUGCCUGUAACGGUUCUCAUUGAUUCAGGCAGCUCCCACAACAUUCUCCAGCCCCGCAUAGCUCACCACCUCCAUCUACCCAUUACACCAAGCCCCCCUUGUCAGUGAUGGUAGGAAACGGGGCCUUCAUACAAUACCAAGGGAUAUGCCCCUUAGUGGACAUCUCUCUUCAAACUUCUACAUUCACCAUUCCUUUCUAGCUAUUACCUAUUGAAGGAGCAAAUGUAGUUUUGGGUAUUGAAUGGUUGCGCACUCUAGGGCCUAUUCAGGAAGGUUUCUCUAUACCCAACAUUGCUUUCACUCACCAGAACAAACAAAUCACCUUACAAGCUGCCACUCCAUCUACCCCAAUUUUAACCACUUACCACCAAUUUUGUCAAUACCUAUCCACCCAUUCCAUUGCAUCCCUUCACCUGCUUUUAAUAGACAACAACCUGAUUCCAUCAAUGACCUUGGACUCUGACUUACAAAACCCAUCAUCUCCAUUAUAUUCCCUUCCUUUUUCCAUUCAGUCAAUUCUUCUACAAAACAAAACAAUCUUUCAAAAACCCAAAGGUUUGCCACCACCCAAACCACAUGACCACCACAUACCCCUUUUGCCUCAUACCCCACCCAUUAAUGUUAAACCAUAUCGUUAUCCCUACUCCUACAAGGAAAUUAUAACCCACCUCAUCUCUGAGAUGCUUCAAGAGGGUAAACCCAGCACAAGCCUGUCUUUUUCCCCUGUCCUCCUCAUAAAAAAAAAAGAUGGUAGUUGGCGCUUUUGUGUGAACUACAGAGCCUUAAAUGCAGCCACCAUCCGUGACCUCUUUCCCAUCCCUACCAUCGAUGAAUUGCUCGAUGAACUAGGCUCAGCUAUAGUUUUCACUAAGAUUGAUUUAUACUCAGGGUAUCAUCAAAUUAGACUUAUUCCUCAAGACACUCACAAAUCAGCUUUUAGAACCAUUGAUGGACAUUACGAAUUUUUAGUCAUGCCUUUUGGAUUGACUAAUGCACCCUCCACUUUUCAGGCAGCCAUGAAUGACCUUUCAGACCUUAUUUAUGGCAUUUUUUCAUUGUUUUCUUUGAUGAUAUUUUGAUUUAUAGUCCCAGUUUGCAGGAACAUAUUGUGCACUUAAAUAUUAUCUUAGAAGUUUUGCAUACUAAGAAAUUUUUUGCUAAGUUAUCUAGGUGCAGUUUUGCCACUUCUCAAGUAAAUUAUUUGGGCCAUAUCAUUUCGGCUAAAGGAAUAGCCCCUGAUCCAGAAAAAGUGAUUGCCAUACACAAUUGGCCGCAGCCACGUUCACUCACGGAAUUACGUGGUUUUCUCGACCUCACAGGAUUUUAUAGAAAGUUUGUUUAUCACUACGCCACUCUCGCCGCUCCUCUCACCGAUUUGUUGCAUAAUAAAAAAUUUACAUGGAGUGUCUCGGCUUAGGAGGCCUUUACAAAAUUAAAAUUACAAAUAUCUCAAGUUCCUACACUACACCUGCCAGAUUUUUCCUUGUCUUUUGUUGUGGAAACAGAUGCAUUUGCAAUAGCCGUGGGGGCUAUACUCAGCCAAAAGGGGCACCCGCUAUCCUUCUUCAGCAAGAAAAUGUGUCCAAGGCUCCAAACUUCAUCAGUGUAUGUCCGAGAAAUGCAUGCAAUCACAGAAGUAGUAAAAAAUGGCGUCAAUACUUGUGAGGGCAACACUUCAAAAUAAUCAUAGAUAAAAAAAGUUUAAAUACACUUCAGUCACAAACAAUACAAACUCCAAAACAACAAAGAUGGACAUCAAAGUUACAGGGAUAUGAUUUCCAAAUUCUAUACCGACUUGGUAAACAAAAUGUGGUUGCAGAUGCUCUCUCACGCCAAGACACAAAUCCACCUUCAAUGUUGUUUGCACUCUCGUCGCCAAUACCAUUGUUGUUUGAAGAGUUACAACAAUUUUAUUCCACCAUAGAAGGAAAAAAAUUAAUUGAUGCUUGCACUAAAGAUACACAAGGACCCAACCUCUUCUCGGUCCGUCAUGGUCUACUCUUCUUUCGUCACCAAGUGUUUCUUCUAGAUACCAACAAUUUCAGAAACCACAUCCUCCAAGAAUUGCAUAAUUUGCCCACAACGGGUCAUUCCGGUAUUAAACCCACCCUUGCUCGCAUUGAUGCUGCCUUCUACUGGCUGGGGUGGACUAGAGAUGUCAAGAACUACAUUCAACAAUGCACCACAUGUCAGCGUAACAAGUAUUUGCCGACAAAGCCCCAUGGAUUACUCCAACCCCUCCCAUUACCAGAUCAAGUGUGGGAAGAUUUAUCAAUGGAUUUUAUAACACACUUACCCGCCUUAGUAGGUCACUCGGUGAUAUGGGUCAUAUGUGAUCGCCUCACGAAGUAUGCUCACUUUGUGGCACUUUCAGAACAGUUCAAUGCCCAGCAACUUGCCAAGCGAUUCUCGGUUGAGAUUUGUCGUCUACAUGGGCUGCCAAAAACCAUUGUCUCAAACCGAGAUCCCCUAUUUGUCAGCACUUUUUGGAAACACGUAUUCAAGACACAAGGCACAACAUUAAAGUUCAGUUCUUCUUACCAUCCGCAAGCUGAUAGACAAACAAAAGUUCUUAAUCGAAGUUUGUAAGAUUACCUACGAUGCUUUCCUAGAGAACAUCCUCACACUUGGUUCCAAUAUCUUCCUCUAGCAGAACUUUGGCACAAUACGACUUACCACUCUGCCAUUGGAACCUCACCGUUCCAUGCUCUGUACGGAGGACAACCUCAAACCGCCCUAGAUCUGUUGCACAGUCCACGCUCAGGCACCACCGUUGUUGAUUUAUUGCACCAAGACACGCUGGUUCUCCACGCCCUCAAACAAAACCUUCGUCGGGCCCGUCAACGAAUGUGCGACCAGGCCAACCACCACCAAUCCGAACGCUCUUUUAACCCCGAUGACUGUGUAUGGGUACGUCUUCAACCUCACCGCCAACAAUCGGUGGAGCGUCGUACAUGUUCGAAGCUCGGCCCUCGUUACUCGAUGCCUUAUCAAGUGCUCCGCCGCAUUGACGUUGUGGCCUACGAACUCUAUUUACUAACCACCUCGCGAGUACACCUGGUAUUUCAUGUAUCCCUCCUCCGUGCUUUCAAAGGAACCCAUGUAGCCACUGAUAUUAAUUCACUCUCUCACGCGGAUAGGGACUCGCCAAACUCUUUGAAUACCCCCACGCCUAACCCUAAAAGCCUUUCAAAUGUCCAACCACUUCACUUACCUAACUUUGAAACCCCUUCAGAAG